This 306-nucleotide ribosomal RNA is filed under the name uncultured Peredibacter sp. Its description in RNAcentral is "bacterial SSU rRNA". It matches the Rfam family "Bacterial small subunit ribosomal RNA", at positions 1033 to 1340 of the family's 1533-position model. Lineage: Bacteria; Pseudomonadati; Bdellovibrionota; Bacteriovoracia; Bacteriovoracales; Bacteriovoracaceae. The record is from RNAcentral.
GAGAGGUGCUGCAUGGCUGUCGUCAGCUCGUGUUGUGAAAUGUUGGGUUAAGUCUCGCAACGAGCGCAACCCCUAUCGUCUGUUGCCAGCAUUAAGUUGGGCACUCUGGCGAGACUGCCUGGGUUAACCAGGAGGAAGGUGGGGACGACGUCAAGUCCUCACGGCCCUUAUGUCUAGGGCUACACACGUAAUACAAUGGCGCGUACAAAGGAAAGCGAACUCGCAAGGGGGAGCAAAUCUCAAAAAGUGCGCCUCAGUUCGGAUUGAAGUCUGCAACUCGACUUCAUGAAGUUGGAAUCGCUAGUA